GAUAAUGCGUAAUUCGCAGUACAUCUCGGGACGCAACCACUGAUGAUAUGACAUGAGUGCGACAGCGUGGGAGUCACAGAUUAGAUACCUGUAGUACACGCGUAAACGAUGUCGACUAGCGUUGGGAUCCUGAGAUUUAGUGGCGCAGUAACGCGAUAAGUCGACCGCCGGGGAGUACGCCGCAAGGUUAAAACUCAAAGAAUGACGGGGGCCGCACGAGCGGUGGAGCAUGUGGUGAAUUCGCAUCAAUGUGAAGAACCUCCUACGCGCUGACAAGUCCCGAACAUUGCAAAGAACGAUGCAGCCUUCGUGAAUCGGAGCACAGUUGCAGCAAGGCUGUCGUCAGCUCGUGUCUUGAGAAGUUCGAAACAGCACGGUAACGAGUGCAAGCCUUGUCUCCCAAUAUCAACUCGUUUAGGUUGGCACUAUAUUGUUACCGCCGGGGCAAACCGGGUGAAGGUUGGGGCCCAUCACAAUUAUCCUCCCCUUUACGUCCAGGGUUACUCACGGGCUACAAUGGUCGGUACAGAGGGUUGCCAAGCCGCGAGGUGGAGUUAAUCCCAUAAAACCGAUCGUAGUCCGGAUCGCAGUCUGCAACUCGACUGCGUGAAGUCGGAAUCGCUAGUAAUCGUGAAUCAGAAUGUCACGGUGAAUACGUUCCCGGGCCUUGUACACACCGCCCGUCACACCAUGGGAGUGGGUUGCUCCAGAAGUAGCUAGUCUAACCGCAAGGGGGACGGUUACCACGGAGUGAUUCAUGACUGGGGUGAAGUCGUAACAAGUAGCCGUA
Molecule: ribosomal RNA, 790 nt
Filed under: uncultured Pseudomonas sp.
Lineage: Bacteria; Pseudomonadati; Pseudomonadota; Gammaproteobacteria; Pseudomonadales; Pseudomonadaceae
Description: bacterial SSU rRNA
Rfam family: Bacterial small subunit ribosomal RNA
Source: RNAcentral